UCACCGCGUGGCGAAGGGCUCCCCGUGGGACCCGUUUACCAGCAGCCCUUCCAGCACUGGGGGUUAUUCCAAGCUAUACCUGGGCACAUAAGGGCAUCGCAGCAAUUGGAAUCCAUCAUUUCAGCCCAGGCAUCUUCCCCCCUGCUCCAAACCUGCAGGAUUUGUAGGACCAGCUCCGUUUUGGGUGUUUGUUGUCGGUACCAUUGCGCAGGUCACCAGAGUGGGAAGAAAUUUUGGCAUCAGAGCACAAACAUGGUUUCGAAGAUGGAAUUUAUAUGUGGUAUUAAUCCAGCCUACAAUGUCUGCGGCCCCCGGCUCAACGGAGCAAUGUACCCAUCGUUCAUCAGGGAAGAAAGGACAAGACUGGAAAUUCUAAGAAAUCGUAAAUGCGAGUGUACACCAGGACCUGGAGCAUACGAUGUAGACAGAGGCUACGCGGCGAUCUUUCCCCGCUCCAUCAGUUUCACCAUUAUAGGAGUCAGGAGACAUAACAUCAGGCCCUUCACAACUUUCUGAAGCAGAGAUGGUCACAGGAUUUCACCUGUAACCAGGGGACUUGCUCCAUCCAGUGAUGAAAUAAGCACAUAAGCAAUUCAGCUCAAGAACUGGUGUGUGUCCCUGUCCUGUCCUGGCUGCUGAGGGGAGCUGGAGCUGUUAGUGCAGUACCUGCUGCUCUCAAGAGCUGCACAUUGGCCCUGUCAGGGACAGAGCUCACAGAAAACCCACUCAGCCAUGUUUGCCCUUUGUGGCAUGUUUGCAAGCACUGGCUUGAGGCAACUCCACUUCUCUAAGCUCAGUGUCACUGCAAACCAAUGACUUCAGGGCAGCAAAUGGGAAAUGAGCAUCUUCCAGCUCAGCAGAUUCAGGAAGAACCAUCCCCUUGUUGAUACAGAGGGCAGGUGCUCCCCAACCAAAACCCACGACUCAUGGC
Long non-coding RNA from Columba livia (rock pigeon), 931 nucleotides. RefSeq lists it as uncharacterized. The transcript is spliced from 4 exons. The record is from RefSeq and is a predicted model, not a curated record. Lineage: Eukaryota; Metazoa; Chordata; Aves; Columbiformes; Columbidae.